This 102-nucleotide transfer RNA is filed under the name Sphagnurus paluster. RNAcentral describes it as "Tephrocybe palustris tRNA". It matches the Rfam family "tRNA". Rfam says of the family: Transfer RNA (tRNA) molecules are approximately 80 nucleotides in length. Their secondary structure includes four short double-helical elements and three loops (D, anti-codon, and T loops). Further hydrogen bonds mediate the characteristic L-shaped molecular structure. tRNAs have two regions of fundamental functional importance: the anti-codon, which is responsible for specific mRNA codon recognition, and the 3' end, to which the tRNAs corresponding amino acid is attached (by aminoacyl-tRNA synthetases). tRNAs cope with the degeneracy of the genetic code in two manners: having more than one tRNA (with a specific anti-codon) for a particular amino acid; and 'wobble' base-pairing, i.e. permitting non-standard base-pairing at the 3rd anti-codon position. The record is from Rfam by way of RNAcentral. Lineage: Eukaryota; Fungi; Basidiomycota; Agaricomycetes; Agaricales; Lyophyllaceae.
GGUAGCAUGGCCGAGUUGGUCUAAGGCGUUGGAUUUAAGUAAAUCUUGAACUUGAAUCCCAAUGGGAGCAAUCCCGCGUGAGUUCGAACCUCACUGCUACCA